ACUGGCUGGUCGCUGCUCGCCCAAUUCCCACUGCUCACACAGCUUCCUUGUGGAUCCAUUCAUCCCCAUGCAUCUCCGUAGUUGGAAUUGCAUCAUAGCCGGUAGUCGCUGCUACAUCCUAGCACUUAUUGUGCCCUCUGCUAUGCGAACCUACUGAGACUUAGCUAACAACGAGACGGGGAACUGCUGCUGUGUGACCGCUGCUGCUUUGUCUUCACGAAGCGUGAUCGCUCAUCUGUGUUUGUAACCGUGUGACCGCUAACGUUUGUCUCGACCUUGUCAUAUUACGUGUCAUCCUUGUCAAUUCUGUGUGUACAUGGUUUUGGUUUAUUGCUCUACUGUUUUGAUUUGCUUUACCACUGGCAGGAGGCCAUUUCCCCUGCGCUGCUGAUAACCAGUGUCCCAACAUCUCUUACUUUGUAAUGUAUCUCUGGUUUUCUAGCUUUCUUCUUAUGAUUUGAUUAGCCACUGAUAGGAGGCUGCUAUUCCAUCUGUGCUGUGGAUUACCAGUGUGCUAGUAUUUAUUAUU
This is a long non-coding RNA of Sardina pilchardus (European sardine), 529 nucleotides long. RefSeq lists it as uncharacterized. NCBI's taxonomy places the organism in Eukaryota, Metazoa, Chordata, Actinopteri, Clupeiformes, Clupeidae. The record is from RefSeq and is a predicted model, not a curated record. The transcript has 3 exons.